RNAcentral lists this long non-coding RNA (311 nucleotides) under Setaria viridis. RNAcentral's name for it is "long non-coding RNA (SVIR_LNC008211)". Lineage: Eukaryota; Viridiplantae; Streptophyta; Magnoliopsida; Poales; Poaceae. The record is from RNAcentral.
CGAUGUAACACUGUUAAAAUUUAGCACCUCGUAUCCAAAUACCUCCUUAUACGCUUGUGUCUUGAAGCAUUUUUUCUCACUCCUCACCUCUCUUUUAUACUCAUUAGAUAUUAGUUUUGUCAAAACUUUUGUUAUUCGCUCUUUGUUAACAGAGUGCCUCAAUAUACAAAGCAAGCAAUUGCAUCCAUCGUGUUUUUCGUGCUUAGGUUACAUAUUAUUAUUUACCAUAUAGGAACAAAUUGAAGUUGGUAAUAUAGACUGAGCAACCAGAGGUAGAGGUUCCUUAUGUCUAUCACAACUAUGGAUCCCCA